AACUGUGAUGGCUCCGCCCUAGAGCAGAUAUGAUCUAUAAUCUCUAAAAAUAAAAAUAACUAUAUAUCAUAUUGGAUUAUCUAUGUAUCAGAAUAAAAUAACUAUGUAUCAUAUUGGAUUAACUAUGUAUCAGAAUAAAAUAACUAUAUAUCAUAUUUAUGUAACUGUAUAUCAUGAUACUUUAACUUUGUACCACAUUCAUAAAAGUAAUGUGGUAUUUUGUAUGCUUG
RNAcentral lists this long non-coding RNA (230 nucleotides) under Elaeis guineensis (African oil palm). RNAcentral's name for it is "long non-coding RNA (EGUI_LNC008358)". The record is from RNAcentral. Lineage: Eukaryota; Viridiplantae; Streptophyta; Magnoliopsida; Arecales; Arecaceae.